AAUUUUGGUCCGCCUCAUUUUCAAGCCUGAUCUUGUCUGAUCUCAGAAGCUAAGCAGAGCAGGGCCCUAGUUAGCACUUGGCUGGAAGACUGCUGGGAAUACCAGAUGCCACAGUGG
RNAcentral lists this ribosomal RNA (117 nucleotides) under Periophthalmus magnuspinnatus. Lineage: Eukaryota; Metazoa; Chordata; Actinopteri; Gobiiformes; Gobiidae. The record is from RNAcentral.